AAUUAAAUGUCUUGUAAGGACCAUGUGGUGGCUCCCAAGAGGCGAAGUCCAGCAAGGUGUCCUCCUGGCUCGAGGACUGCACAGCCGAUCUAUAAGCAUUAUAUACAGGGUCAUCAGAAGCCUGAUAUGUAAGAAUUUUUGAGGAGAUCCUCUCAUAUUCCACGCACUGGAGGUAUUCGUUAACAACACCUUCCAAAGAAGAUGCAACAUUUUUGAAAUUUUUCACAACCAAUUUGUGCAGAUCCUCCCCUGCCCAAAUGGGUAAUAUACAUAUAUUCACUAGUAAGCACAUGCAAGCACCAACGCCAAUAAGUAGUAAUCGAUAAAAGGCCGUUUGGAAAAAUGACGAUGUACUUCCAGAUACCAACACGAUGCAAAAUGUCAACAGAAAUACCCGGAACCCGUAUUCAUACGUCUUCAUCGGCGGAUACAAUUUGCAAUAGCUUGCGAAAAAUCCUGCAAGGAAUAUACUUAUUACGAUUAUAACUUCUUUGAACGCCCCGGCUGAGACAGAUAGCUCUGCAAUACCAAGGGCAAGUCCACCUG
This 546-nucleotide unclassified non-coding RNA is filed under the name Hevea brasiliensis (rubber tree). Lineage: Eukaryota; Viridiplantae; Streptophyta; Magnoliopsida; Malpighiales; Euphorbiaceae. The record is from RNAcentral.